CUUACACAAACCUAAAUGGUAUAGCCUACUACACACCUAGGCCAUUUGGUAUUAAUCUUUUUUUUUUCUUUUAAAGAUUUUAUUUUUCCUUUUUCUCCCCAAAUCCCCACAGUACAUAGUUGUGUAUUUUUAGUUGUGGGUCCUUCUAGUUGUGGCAUGUGGGAUGCCGCCUCAGCAUGGCUCGAUGAGCGGUGCCAUGUCCAUGUCCAGGAUUCGAACUGGUGAAACCCUGGGCUGCCAAAGCGGAGCGCGUGAACUCAACCACUUGGCCACAGAGCUGGCCCCUAUUUAGUAUUAAUCUUAUGGGACCACGCUCAUAUAUGCGGUCCGUUGACAGAAAUGUCGUUAUUUGGCACAUGGCCAUACUACUGCUAUUGCUAAUAAAAGUGAUAUAUCCAUACAAUAGAAUGCUUCUCAGCAACAAAAAAGAACGAACUCCUUCUGUACACGAUAACAUGGAUGAAGAUCAAAAAUACUAUGCUGAGUGGAAGAAGCCAGAACAAAAGACUACAUACUGUAUGAAUCCAUCAUAUGAAGUUCUAGACCAGUCGUGAGACCUGAAAAUUCUGCAGCCAUCUUGCUUCCAGCCUGAGAUGAAGAACAUAGAAAACAAGGGCAGAAAUCACUAGAGUAAUUGCAGAGAAAUGGAGCUGGAACCGCCGGAUUAAGUCCGCUGACGCCUGUCCACAUCUUGACAUUCAGUUAUGCGCA
Molecule: long non-coding RNA, 711 nt
Filed under: Equus caballus (horse)
Lineage: Eukaryota; Metazoa; Chordata; Mammalia; Perissodactyla; Equidae
Description: lncRNA (ENSECAG00000056115.1)
Source: RNAcentral